Molecule: ribosomal RNA, 216 nt
Filed under: uncultured bacterium
Lineage: Bacteria
Description: partial 16S ribosomal RNA
Rfam family: Bacterial small subunit ribosomal RNA
Source: RNAcentral
GUCCCAGUUCGGAUUGUAGUCUGCAACCCGACUACAUGAAGCUGGAAUCGCUAGUAAUCGCAGGUCAGCAUACUGCGGUGAAUACGUUCCCGGGUCUUGUACACACCGCCCGUCACACCAUGGGAGCCGGAAAUGCCCGAAGCCAGUGACCCAACCUUAGGGAGGGAGCUGUCGAAGGUGGAGCCGGUAACUGGGGUGAAGUCGUAACAAGGUACC